GGCUUGUACACACCGCCGUCACACCAUGGGAGUGGGCUGCAAAAGAAGUAGGUAGUUUAACCUUCGGGAGGACGCUUACCACUUUGUGGUUCAUGACUGGGGUGAAGUCGUAACAAGGUAGCGCUAGGGGAACCUGGCGCUGGAUCACCU
This 150-nucleotide ribosomal RNA is filed under the name Vibrio harveyi. Its description in RNAcentral is "partial 16S ribosomal RNA". It matches the Rfam family "Bacterial small subunit ribosomal RNA", at positions 1378 to 1528 of the family's 1533-position model. Lineage: Bacteria; Pseudomonadati; Pseudomonadota; Gammaproteobacteria; Vibrionales; Vibrionaceae. The record is from RNAcentral.